AUUGAACGCUGGCGGCAGGCCUAACACAUGCAAGUCGAGCGAGCGGCUGACGGGUGAGUAAUGUAUGGGGACUGCCCGAUAGAGGGGGAUAACUACUGGAAACGUUGGCUACUACCGCAUACUAUCGGAUAACCCAUAUGGGAUUAGCUAGUAGGUGGGGUAAAGGCUCACCUAGGCGACGAUCUCUAGCUGGGCUGAGAGGGUGAUGAGCCACACUGGAACUGAGAAUCGGCCCAAGCGCCUACGGAGGCGGCAGGGGGGAAUGUUGCACAAUGGGCGAAAGCCUGAUGCAGCCAAGCCGCGUGUAUGAGGAAGGACAUAGGGUUGUAAAGUACUUUCAGCGGGGAGGCGUACCCCGCAGAAGCAGCACCGGCUAACUCCGUGCCAGCAGCCGCGGUAAUAC
This 403-nucleotide ribosomal RNA is filed under the name uncultured bacterium. RNAcentral's name for it is "partial 16S ribosomal RNA". It matches the Rfam family "Bacterial small subunit ribosomal RNA", at positions 29 to 526 of the family's 1533-position model. The record is from RNAcentral.